CUAGUCGGUGGGGUAAAAGCCUACCGAGGCGACGAUCGGUAGCUGGUCUGAGAGGACGAUCAGCCACACUGGGAUUGAGAACGGCCCAGACUCCUACGGGGGGCAGCAGUGAGGAAUUUUCCGCAAUGGACGAAAGUCUGACGGAGCAACGCCGCGUGCAGGAAGACGGCCUUCGGGUUGUAAACUGCUUUUCUCAGGGACGAGCAAGGACGGUACCUGAGGAAGAAGCCCCGGCUAACUACGUGCCAGCAGCCGCGGUAAUACGUAGGGGGCGAGCGUUGUCCGGAUUUAUUGGGCGUAAAGCGUCCGCAGGCGGUGGAGCAAGUUCGAGGUGACAGUACGCGGCUUAACCGCGCAAGGUUCUUGAAAACUGCUCGACUUGAGGGCUUCAGAGGGACCCGGAAUUCCGGGUGGAGUGGUGAAAUGCGUAGAGAUCCGGAGGAACACCAAAGGCGCAGGCAGGGUCCUGGGAAGCAUCUGACGCUCAUGGACGAAAGCUAGGGGAGCGAACGGGAUUAGAUACCCCGGUAGUCCUAGCCGUAAACGAUGACCACUAGACGUGGGAGGUAUCGACCCCUUCCGUGUCGUCGCAAACGCACUAAGUGGUCCGCCUGGGGAGUACGGUCGCAAGAUUAAAACUCAAAGGAAUUGACG
RNAcentral lists this ribosomal RNA (654 nucleotides) under uncultured bacterium. RNAcentral describes it as "SSU rRNA". It matches the Rfam family "Bacterial small subunit ribosomal RNA", at positions 245 to 915 of the family's 1533-position model. The record is from RNAcentral.